RNAcentral lists this ribosomal RNA (164 nucleotides) under uncultured bacterium. RNAcentral's name for it is "partial 16S ribosomal RNA". It matches the Rfam family "Bacterial small subunit ribosomal RNA", at positions 355 to 511 of the family's 1533-position model. The record is from RNAcentral.
UAGGGAAUCUUCGGCAAUGGACGAAAGUCUGACCGAGCAACGCCGCGUGAGUGAAGAAGGUUUUCGGAUCGUAAAACUCUGUUGUAAGAGAAGAAUGACAUUGAGAGUAACUGUUCAAUGUGUGACGGUAUCUUACCAGAAAGGAACGGCUAAAUACGUGCCAG